ACAACAAAGAGUCCCUCCCGACUGUUUACCAAAAACACAGCACUCUGCUAACUCGUAAGAGGAUGUAUAGGGUGUGACGCCUGCCCGGUGCUCGAAGGUUAAUUGAUGGGGUUAGCAUUAGCGAAGCUCUUGAUCGAAGCCCGAGUAAACGGCGGCCGUAACUAUAACGGUCCUAAGGUAGCGAAAUUCCUUGUCGGUUAAAUACCGACCUGCAUGAAUGGCGUAACGAGAUGGGAGCUGUCUCAAAGAGGGAUCCAGUGAAAUUGUAGUGGAGGUGAAAAUUCCUCCUACCCGCGGCAAGACGGAAAGACCCCGUGGACCUUUACUACAGCUUGACACUGCUACUUGGAUAAGAAUGUGCAGGAUAGGUGGGAGGCUUUGAGUAUAUGACGCCAGUUGUAUAUGAGCCAUUGUUGAGAUACCACUCUUUCUUAUUUGGGUAGCUAACCAGCUUGAGUUAUCCUCAAGUGGGACAAUGUCUGGUGGGUAGUUUGACUGGGGCGGUCGCCUCCCAAAUAAUAACGGAGGCUUACAAAGGUUGGCUCAGAACGGUUGGAAAUCGUUCGUAGAGUAUAAAGGUAUAAGCCAGCUUAACUGCAAGACAUACAAGUCAAGCAGAGACGAAAGUCGGUCUUAGUGAUCCGGUGGUUCUGUGUGGAAGGGCCAUCGCUCAAAGGAUAAAAGGUACCCCGGGGAUAACAGGCUGAUCUCCCCCAAGAGCUCACAUCGACGGGGAGGUUUGGCACCUCGAUGUCGGCUCAUCGCAUCCUGGGGCUGGAGCAGGUCCCAAGGGUAUGGCUGUUCGCCAUUUAAAGCGGUACGCGAGCUGGGUUCAGAACGUCGUGAGACAGUUCGGUCCCUAUCUGCCGUGGGCGUAAGAAGAUUGAAGAGAUUUGACCCUAGUACGAGAGGACCGGGUUGAACAAACCACUGGUGUAGCUGUUGUUCUGCCAAGAGCAUCGCAGCGUAGCUAAGUUUGGAAAGGAUAAACGCUGAAAGCAUCUAAGCGUGAAGCCAACUCUAAGAUGAAUCUUCUCUAAGCUCUCUAGAAGACUACUAGUUUGAUAGGCUGGGUGUGUAAUGGAUGAAAGUCCUUUAGCUGACCAGUACUAAUAGAGCGUUUGGCUUAUCUUUAAUAAAGCAU
This 1144-nucleotide ribosomal RNA is filed under the name Campylobacter jejuni. RNAcentral describes it as "partial 23S ribosomal RNA". It matches the Rfam family "Bacterial large subunit ribosomal RNA", at positions 1779 to 2925 of the family's 2925-position model. Lineage: Bacteria; Pseudomonadati; Campylobacterota; Epsilonproteobacteria; Campylobacterales; Campylobacteraceae. The record is from RNAcentral.